Long non-coding RNA from Octopus bimaculoides (California two-spot octopus), 398 nucleotides. RefSeq lists it as uncharacterized. NCBI's taxonomy places the organism in Eukaryota, Metazoa, Mollusca, Cephalopoda, Octopoda, Octopodidae. The record is from RefSeq and is a predicted model, not a curated record.
GACCUUUCUCUGAUUAAGUUGGCUUUUGGCAGAUAGUCGUGUUGAUGGAGUUACUAAGUAUUUUAACGUCUCGCCAGCGAUUUAGGGAGAGUACAUGGCUGGGAGACUGAAGAAUUCCUUUCGAAGUCGUUUCCUUAUUUAAAGAGACUUCAAGUAAACAAGAAAGAAAAUGGUUGCUGAACAAAAGAAGCAUGGAAAUUCAAAGACAAUUCAGCAUUGGAAGAAUCUAAUAUAAACGAUGAAACAUCAAGACAAAUGCUUUUUUUCAAAGCUGUUUGAAGAAAAUUGACAUCUGAGAGGGAAAAAAAACAUCAAAGAGGUUAUAUCAACAUGCAAAAACAGAUUAUUAUUCAUAAACAGGUUGAUUUAACAUGCAUGACAGGUAAGUUCUCAAUGAA